UGAAAGAGUCGAAUUGUGGGUUCA
RNAcentral lists this non-coding RNA (24 nucleotides) under Arabidopsis thaliana (thale cress). Lineage: Eukaryota; Viridiplantae; Streptophyta; Magnoliopsida; Brassicales; Brassicaceae. The record is from RNAcentral.